AGUUGAUGCGAGAUUUUGACGUUUUUAGUAUGAGAUGACAGAUGUAUCCGCAUUCUGUAAGGGUGAUUCCCCGUUCACUUCGCUAUUCACUUCACUUACGAACUCGAUUUGAUCUGUCAAAUAAAAAGUUGAUGUUCGUCGAGUGAAAUCUAUACGUUUCUUAGUUAUUUGCUGGUGAUAUCGUAUCUAAUAAGACUCAAUAAGUUUCAAUUAAGGAAGCUCAUACUUUGGACAAUUUUGAGUUGCGUCGACAAGCCUAUGAAAUUCGUAGUUUGUCUCUAUUGACCCGAGAUGAUAACUAUGUCAGCGUAUAAAGUCUUUCGAAGCAAUUAAUCGACCAACUCGAGCUUGAGUUGCUCCCUAUAAUAAAAAAGUACGAAACGUCGAAGAAAAGGACUUACAACUCGUAUUAAGGUUUCAUGAAAAAUUCAUCAUUGGCAGCAUUGAUGGCACUAUCAUAACUUAAAAAGACUGGCUGAGCAUGAAGAGCGCUUCUUCUGUCGUAAGAAUUAUCAUGCUAGGAUGUGCAAUUGAAAAAAUAUCAUGUGCAAUUGAUUACAGAUGACAGUUUUAUUUUUAAUGAAGAUGUAAGAGAUCACUUAGAGCCUUUGACAAAUGCUGGUGAAGAAAUUGUUUUCUUUGGUGGUUCUGGAUAUGCUGAGCGGGCUAACCUUAUGACACCUAUAAAUAAUGCCCCAGACAAUACACCUGAAACAUAUUAUAACAUGCUUGCGCAACUCCGUAGAACGCCAAAUGGUUUGUUGAAAAGACGCUUCAGGUGUUUGUUAGUACACAGGGUCCUAGACUAUCAUCCUGAUAAAGUUGCAAUGCAUGUUGUAUUCUGCAUAACGUGUUCAACCGGGCUGGAAUGGAGGUAGUUAAUUUGACUGAAGAUGAAAACCUAAAGGAAGCUCAGGUGGCAGCCGAGACACAGAGAAGGCAACGUGCCAAAUCAUGAUGAUUUAAAUGUUGGACGGUCGCAAAGGCCUCAAAGGACAUAGAAAAAAAAAGUCAAAGAUCUUGUGAAUAGAUUGUGGUGAUCGCGUCGACCUUAACUCCACCUCAGUGUGAGAAGAGUAACAGAAGCUUAGGACUAAAUAUUUUAAUUAUCUAUGUAGAUCUAGUUAUAGUACAUACUAAGGAAUAACAGGUAAUUUAGAGGUAUAGGUAUUAUAGUGAGUGUGUUGUUAUCAUAUAGAAUUACCUACUUUGUGUAAUGUUAUACAAUAAAAUUGUAUAUAAUAGGCUAUUAUUACUUUAGGGUCUGCUAUUAACUUCAAAAUUGUAUUUUAUGAAUAAAUAACGGUUUUAUAUUAUUAUUUAUAUUUAGUACAUAAGAACAUUGAAAAAAAAGAUUGUAAUAUAAGCAAAACCAGAAAAGAAACAACGAAUAAUAAUAAUAUGUAUAACGUAUAAUAAAAUCUACUUUAAAACUUGAAAAUAUAAAAUUACAAUUUAAAUACUUAUUUAUUUGACCCCAGUUCAACCUAAUAGAUUCUGCUAGCGCAUUUAAUUCUUCCUCCACUGCCGCCACAGCGUUAGCGGCAAUUCCGUCUCUCUCAAUGCUGUGCUUCAUCAUGCUCGCCUUGACCGGUGCAUUGGGCCGCCGAAUUUCUAACUGCUGCUCUUCAACUCACUGAAAUCUGUAAGAGUAAUAGUAGUUUAUUUCAGCACAUAAAUGUAGUCAAAAUAACAUUAGAUCAAAUAAACUGAAAUACGUACUUCUGAAUGUCCACUGCUUUGUAUUAAAGAGGGAGGCUGGGGAACCAAUUGUAUUGGGUCUGAUUGCUGAAAAUAAAAUCAUGUACUUUA
Molecule: long non-coding RNA, 1812 nt
Filed under: Pectinophora gossypiella (pink bollworm)
Lineage: Eukaryota; Metazoa; Arthropoda; Insecta; Lepidoptera; Gelechiidae
Description: uncharacterized LOC126373602
Source: RNAcentral